This 500-nucleotide ribosomal RNA is filed under the name uncultured bacterium. RNAcentral's name for it is "partial 16S ribosomal RNA". It matches the Rfam family "Bacterial small subunit ribosomal RNA", at positions 30 to 523 of the family's 1533-position model. The record is from RNAcentral.
AUUGAACGCUGGCGGAAUGCUUUACACAUGCAAGUCGAACGGCAGCACGGACUUCGGUCUGGUGGCGAGUGGCGAACGGGUGAGUAAUGUAUCGGAACGUGCCCAGUCGUGGGGGAUAACGUAGUGAAAAUUACGCUAAUACCGCAUACGAUCUAUGGAUGAAAGCGGGGGAUCGCAAGACCUCGCGCGAUUGGAGCGGCCGAUAUCAGAGUAGGUAGUUUGUGGGGUAAAGGCCCACCAAGCCAACGAUCUGUAGCUGGUCUGAGAGGACGACCAGACACACUGGAACUGCGACACGGUCCAGACUCCUACGGGAGGCAGCAGUGGGGAAUUUUGGACAAUGGGAGAAAGCCUGAUCCAGCCAUUCCGCGUGCAGGAUGAAGGCCCUCGGGUUGUAAACUGCUUUUGUACAGAACGAAAAGGUUUCUACUAAUACUAGGAGCUCAUGACGGUACUGUAAGAAUAAGCACCGGCUAACUACGUGCCAGCCGCCGCCGUAA